ACUCCCUACGGAGGCAGCAGUAGGGAAUCUUCCACAAUGGGCGCAAGCCUGAUGGAGCAACACCGCGUGAGUGAAGAAGGGUUUCGGCUCGUAAAGCUCUGUUGUUAAAGAAGAACACGUAUGAGAGUAACUGUUCAUACGUUGACGGUAUUUAACCAGAAAGUCACGGCUAACUACGUGCCAGCAGCCGCGGUAAUACGUAGGUGGCAAGCGUUAUCCGGAUUUAUUGGGCGUAAAGAGAGUGCAGGCGGUUUUCUAAGUCUGAUGUGAAAGCCUUCGGCUUAACCGGAGAAGUGCAUCGGAAACUGGAUAACUUGAGUGCAGAAGAGGGUAGUGGAACUCCAUGUGUAGCGGUGGAAUGCGUAGAUAUAUGGAAGAACACCAGUGGCGAAGGCGGCUACCUGGUCUGCAACUGACGCUGAGACUCGAAAGCAUGGGUAGCGAACAGGAUUAGAUACCCUGGUAGGAUAGCG
Molecule: ribosomal RNA, 473 nt
Filed under: uncultured bacterium
Lineage: Bacteria
Description: bacterial SSU rRNA
Rfam family: Bacterial small subunit ribosomal RNA
Source: RNAcentral